AUUGAACGCUGGCGGCAGGCCUAACACAUGCAAGUCGAGCGAGCGGCGGACGGGUGAGUAAUGUCUGGGAAACUGCCUGAUGGAGGGGGCUAACUACUGGAAACGGUAGCUAAUACCGCAUACCAUCAGAUCUGCCCAGAUGGGCUUAGCUAGUAGGUGGGGUACCGGCCAACCUAGGCGACGAUUCCUAGCUGGUCUGAGAGGAUGAACAGCCAAACUGGAACGGAGACACGGUCCAAAAGCUGACGGGAGGCAGCAGUGGGCAAUAUUGCACAAUGGGCGCAAGCCUGAUGCAGCCAUGCGGCGUGUGUGAAGAAGGGCUUCGGGUUGUAAGGAACUUUCAGCGGGGAGGCGUUACCCGCAGAAGAAUCACCGGCUAACUCCGUGCCAGCAGCCGCGGUAAUAC
Molecule: ribosomal RNA, 406 nt
Filed under: uncultured bacterium
Lineage: Bacteria
Description: partial 16S ribosomal RNA
Rfam family: Bacterial small subunit ribosomal RNA
Source: RNAcentral